RNAcentral lists this transfer RNA (61 nucleotides) under Euphaedusa planostriata. Its description in RNAcentral is "tRNA-Gly". Lineage: Eukaryota; Metazoa; Mollusca; Gastropoda; Stylommatophora; Clausiliidae. The record is from RNAcentral.
UUUGAGUAGUAUAACUAUUAUAGGUACCUUCCAAAUACAAGAUCUCGGAAGAGCUCAUAAG